AGCAGCCGCGGUAAUUCCAGCUCCAAUAGCGUAUAUUAAAGUUGUUGCAGUUAAAAAGCUCGUAGUUGAAUUUCGGGGUUAGUAGGUUGGUCAUGCCUCUGGUAUGUACUGGUCUCACUGAUUCCUCCUUCCUGAUGAACCUUAAUGCCAUUAAUUUGGUGUUUUGGGGAAUUUGGACUGUUACUUUGAAAAAAUUAGAGUGUUUAAAGCAAGCUAACGCUUGAAUACAUUAGCAUGGAAUAAUGAAAUAGGACGUUCGAUCCUAUUUUGUUGGUUUCUAGGAUUGACGUAAUGAUUAAUAGGGAUAGUUGGGGGCAUUAGUAUUCAAUUGUCAGAGGUGAAAUUCUUGGAUUUAUUGAAGACUAACUACUGCGAAAGCAUUUGCCAAGGAUGUUUUCAUUAAUCAAGAACGAAAGUUAGGGGAUCGAAGACGAUCAGAUACCGUCGUAGUCUUAACCAUAAACUAUGCCGACUAGGGAUCGGGUGAUGUUAAUUUUUUAAUGACUCAUUCGGCGCCUUACG
Molecule: ribosomal RNA, 522 nt
Filed under: uncultured Glomeraceae
Lineage: Eukaryota; Fungi; Glomeromycota; Glomeromycetes; Glomerales; Glomeraceae
Description: SSU rRNA
Rfam family: Eukaryotic small subunit ribosomal RNA
Source: RNAcentral